RNAcentral lists this ribosomal RNA (495 nucleotides) under uncultured bacterium. RNAcentral's name for it is "partial 16S ribosomal RNA". It matches the Rfam family "Bacterial small subunit ribosomal RNA", at positions 28 to 507 of the family's 1533-position model. The record is from RNAcentral.
GACGAACGCUGGCGGCGUGCCUAAUACAUGCAAGUAGAACGCUGAAGGAGGAGCUUGCUCUUCUGGAUGAGUUGCGAACGGGUGAGUAACGCGUAGGUAACCUGCCUGGUAGCGGGGGAUAACUAUUGGAAACGAUAGCUAAUACCGCAUAACAGUAGAUGUUGCAUGACAUUUGCUUAAAAGGUGCAAUUGCAUCACUACCAGAUGGACCUGCGUUGUAUUAGCUAGUUGGUGGGGUAACGGCUCACCAAGGCGACGAUACAUAGCCGACCUGAGAGGGGGAUCGGCCACACUGGGACGGAGACACGGCCCAGACUCCUACAGGAGGCAGCAGUAGGGAAUCUUCGGCAAUGGACGGAAGUCUGACCGAGCAACGCCGCGUGAGUGAAGAAGGUUUUCGGAUCGUAAAGCUCUGUUGUAAGAGAAGAACGAGUGUGAGAGUGGAAAGUUCACACUGUGACGGUAUCUUACCAGAAAGGGACGGCUAACUACGUG